GCCUUGCCAACUGAGCUACGCGGUCAAGUACAUACAUAUACAUAAUGUAUGUACAGUAUGUACCUGACCGCGUAGCUCAGUCGGCAGAGCAU
Molecule: non-coding RNA, 92 nt
Organism: Paramuricea clavata
Lineage: Eukaryota; Metazoa; Cnidaria; Anthozoa; Malacalcyonacea; Plexauridae
Source: the annotation of a GenBank genome assembly